Molecule: non-coding RNA, 47 nt
Organism: Bombyx mori (domestic silkworm)
Lineage: Eukaryota; Metazoa; Arthropoda; Insecta; Lepidoptera; Bombycidae
Source: Rfam
UUAGAGGAUUUUUUCGAAUCCACAGCAUAUACUAAGCGAUUCGACUU